RNAcentral lists this ribosomal RNA (822 nucleotides) under uncultured bacterium. RNAcentral describes it as "bacterial SSU rRNA". It matches the Rfam family "Bacterial small subunit ribosomal RNA", at positions 97 to 913 of the family's 1533-position model. The record is from RNAcentral.
GGCGAACGGGUGAGUAAUACAUCGGAACGUGCCCGAUCGUGGGGGAUACCUAAGCGAAAGCUUUGCUAAUACCGCAUACGAUCUACGGAUGAAAGCGGGGGAUCUUAGGACCUCGCGCGGACGGAGCGGCCGAUGGCAGAUUAGGUAGUUGGUGGGAUAAAAGCUUACCAAGCCGACGAUCUGUAGCUGGUCUGAGAGGAUGAUCAGCCACACUGGGACUGAGACACGGCCCAGACUCCUACGGGAGGCAGCAGUGGGGAAUUUUGGACAAUGGGCGCAAGCCUGAUCCAGCCAUGCCGCGUGCAGGAUGAAGGCCUUCGGGUUGUAAACUGCUUUUGUACGGAACGAAAAGGUGCCUUCUAAUAAAGGGCGCUCAUGACGGUACCGUAAGAAUAAGCACCGGCUAACUACGUGCCAGCAGCCGCGGUAAUACGUAGGGUGCGAGCGUUAAUCGGAAUUACUGGGCGUAAAGCGUGCGCAGGCGGUUUUGUAAGACAGAGGUGAAAUCCCCGGGCUCAACCUGGGAACUGCCUUUGUGACUGCAAGGCUGGAGUGCGGCAGAGGGGGAUGGAAUUCCGCGUGUAGCAGAGAAAUGCGUAGAUAUGCGGAGGAACACCGAUGGCGAAGGCAAUCCCCUGGGCCUGCACUGACGCUCAUGCACGAAAGCGUGUGGAGCAAACAGGAUUACAUACCCUGGUAGUCCACGCCCUAAACGAUGUCAACUGGUUGUUGGGGAUUAAUUUUCUCCAUUAACGAAGCUAACGCGUGAAUUUGACCGCCUGGGGGAGUACGGGCGGCAAGGUUGAAACUCAAAGGAAUUGA